AUAUUAUAUUAUUAAUAGGAAAGUCAUAAAUAUAUAAAUUAUAUUGUAUAAUUAUAUAUAUUAUUCAUUAUAUAUAUUAUUAAUUGUUUAAUAAUAUAAAAAAUAUAACAGGAUAAUUAUUAUUAUUAUAUACAAUAUUAAUAAAGUAAUUAGUAUAAAUAAAUAAAAUGAAAAUAAAACUUAAUAAAUAUAUUAUUAUAUAUUUUUAAUCACUUUAUAAUUAUUAUUAAUAGAUUAUUAGAAAUAUUAUACUUUAUAUCUUUAUAAAAAUUAAGAUAUAUUUUAUAAUAUAUUAAUCUUAUUUAUAGUCGGGUCCGCCCCGCGGGCCGGACGCCGAAGGAGUGAGGGACCCGCCCUCCCAAGGGCGGGACCGAACCCCUCGUUAUAUAUAAAAGAUAUAUAAAAGUUAUAUUAUUAUACAGAAAUAUGCUUAAUUAUAAUAUAAUAUCC
RNAcentral lists this non-coding RNA (450 nucleotides) under Saccharomyces pastorianus. Lineage: Eukaryota; Fungi; Ascomycota; Saccharomycetes; Saccharomycetales; Saccharomycetaceae. The record is from RNAcentral.